RNAcentral lists this long non-coding RNA (213 nucleotides) under Phoenix dactylifera (date palm). Its description in RNAcentral is "long non-coding RNA (PDAC_LNC012630)". The record is from RNAcentral. Lineage: Eukaryota; Viridiplantae; Streptophyta; Magnoliopsida; Arecales; Arecaceae.
ACCUAGGCUUGGGACGCCUAUCCCUUGUUCCAAGUCCCUUGACUGGAACAAGCACAAUAAACGAGUGUUUCACAAAGAUUUGAAAGCUCUUAAGAAGGCAAAUAUAUCAAUGAGAAAUAACAAAACCCGGAAGAACCCUUUUUGCCGUUGGAAGCGUGGGUAAUGGUGGUUCUUCCGAUGUGGAUCGCGUUGGAUUGAAUGUGAGCUUUGAAU